This 301-nucleotide ribosomal RNA is filed under the name uncultured bacterium. Its description in RNAcentral is "partial 16S ribosomal RNA". It matches the Rfam family "Bacterial small subunit ribosomal RNA", at positions 509 to 807 of the family's 1533-position model. The record is from RNAcentral.
CAGUAGCCACGGGAACACGAAGGGGGCUAGCGUUGUUCGGAAUUACUGGGCGUAAAGCGCACGUAGGCGGAUAUUUAAGUCAGGGGUGAAAUCCCGCAGCUCAACUGCGGAACUGCCUUUGAUACUGGGUAUCUUGAGUAUGGAAGAGGUUAGUGGAAUUGCGAGUGUAGAGGUGAAAUUCGUAGGUAUUCGCAGGAACACCAGUGGCGAAGGCGGCUAACUGGUCCAUAACUGACGCUGAGGUGCGAAAGCGUGGGGAGCAAACAGGAUUAGAUACCCCUGUAGUCCCUGUCUCUUAUAC